This 574-nucleotide ribosomal RNA is filed under the name Pseudomonas sp. MF2846. RNAcentral describes it as "partial 23S ribosomal RNA". It matches the Rfam family "Bacterial large subunit ribosomal RNA", at positions 1 to 623 of the family's 2925-position model. Lineage: Bacteria; Pseudomonadati; Pseudomonadota; Gammaproteobacteria; Pseudomonadales; Pseudomonadaceae. The record is from RNAcentral.
GGUCAAGUGAAGAAGCGCAUACGGUGGAUGCCUUGGCAGUCAGAGGCGAUGAAAGACGUGGUAGCCUGCGAAAAGCUUCGGGGAGUCGGCAAACAGACUUUGAUCCGGAGAUGUCUGAAUGGGGGAACCCAGCCAUCAUAAGAUGGUUAUCUUGUACUGAAUACAUAGGUGCAAGAGGCGAACCAGGGGAACUGAAACAUCUAAGUACCCUGAGGAAAAGAAAUCAACCGAGAUUCCCUUAGUAGUGGCGAGCGAACGGGGACUAGCCCUUAAGUGGCUUUGAGAUUAGCGGAACGCUCUGGAAAGUGCGGCCAUAGUGGGUGAUAGCCCUGUACGCGAAAAUCUCUUAGUCAUGAAAUCGAGUAGGACGGAGCACGAGAAACUUUGUCUGAAUAUGGGGGGACCAUCCUCCAAGGCUAAAUACUACUGACUGACCGAUAGUGAACUAGUACCGUGAGGGAAAGGCGAAAAGAACCCCGGAGAGGGGAGUGAAAUAGAUCCUGAAACCGUAUGCGUACAAGCAGUGGGAGCCCACUUUGUUGGGUGACUGCGUACCUUUUGUAUAAUGGGUCAG